UUAUCUUUUAGUUUCGAAGCUCAUUCAACAUUUCACUAGCCGGCCCUAAUCCGCCUCUGCAUGUCUCCCUCUCCUCGGGCUCAGAUCUCGCAACCCCACCAGCCUCCGAUCUCGUGCCGCUGGCAACACCAACGCUCGUGAUACACGCGCACAGAUCACUCGCUCACGCUGCUGUACCUAUUGCCUGUGGUCGCCCCCUCCGAUCUCAACCCUCGCACCUCCAGUAGCCUCCGACAUCGCACUUCAGGCGACAGUCACAAUCGUGCUUUGCGUUCACUGGUGGUAGCUCUUAGUCGGUCAAACUGCUCAACGUCGAGAACUUCUCCAGAGCAGCAAUCGCAAAGCCAAGAUUGCCAUAACACUAGCAGCAACCUAGCACUAGAAUCCCUAAUACGGCAUUUAGAAUACUAUGACGCGUAAACAUAAUAUCUCCGGACAGUCAAUCCUCGAAGAGUUACGAAGACAAAGUGAAGACAUAAACUUGAGUUCGGAAGAUGGGUUGGAACAAAUUAGGCUCAAUGAUGAUGGGGAUGAAAUUUCAGAGACGGAGAUGUUAAAUCAAAGUGGUGGUGAUCUACCGGAACGUGCUGCACCUAAGAAUAAAAGAGAUGAAAAUGAGCCACUGCUUGUGAAAGUUAAAGUUGUCCGUGAUCAAAGACAUAAAAAAACAUACC
Long non-coding RNA from Arachis duranensis, 674 nucleotides. RefSeq lists it as uncharacterized. The record is from RefSeq and is a predicted model, not a curated record. Lineage: Eukaryota; Viridiplantae; Streptophyta; Magnoliopsida; Fabales; Fabaceae. The transcript has 4 exons.